AGUGAACGCUGGCGGUAGGCCUAACACAUGCAAGUCGAACGGCAGCACAGGAGAGCUUGCUCUCUGGGUGGCGAGUGGCGGACGGGUGAGGAAUGCAUCGGAAUCUACUCUUUCGUGGGGGAUAACGUAGGGAAACUUACGCUAAUACCGCAUACGACCUACGGGUGAAAGCCGGGGACCUUCGGGCCUGGCGCGAAAGAAUGAGCCGAUGCCCGAUUAGCUAGUUGGCGGGGUAAGAGCCCACCAAGGCGACGAUCGGUAGCUGGUCUGAGAGGAUGAUCAGCCACACUGGAACUGAGACACGGUCCAGACUCCUACGGGGGGCAGCGGUGGGGAAUAUUGGACAAUGGGCGCAAGCCUGAUCCAGCCAUACCGCGUGGGUGAAGAAGGCCUUCGGGUUGUAAAGCCCUUUUGUUGGGAAAGAAAAGCAGUCGGUUAAUACCCGAUUGUUCUGACGGUACCCAAAGAAUAAGCACCGCUAAUC
RNAcentral lists this ribosomal RNA (484 nucleotides) under Xanthomonas sp. oral taxon 037. Its description in RNAcentral is "bacterial SSU rRNA". It matches the Rfam family "Bacterial small subunit ribosomal RNA", at positions 29 to 502 of the family's 1533-position model. The record is from RNAcentral. Lineage: Bacteria; Pseudomonadati; Pseudomonadota; Gammaproteobacteria; Lysobacterales; Lysobacteraceae.